This is a non-coding RNA of Mya arenaria, 84 nucleotides long. NCBI's taxonomy places the organism in Eukaryota, Metazoa, Mollusca, Bivalvia, Myida, Myidae. The record is from the annotation of a RefSeq genome assembly.
GUUACGGUGGCCGAGUGGUUAAGGUGUAGGACUUAAAAUCCAAUGGGGCUUUGCCCUUCGGGGGUUCGAAUCCCUCCCGUAACG